GACGAACGCUGGCGGCGUGCUUAACACAUGCAAGUCGAACGGAAAGGCCCUGCUUUUGUGGGGUGCUCGAGUGGCGAACGGGUGAGUAACACGUGAGUAACCUGCCCUUGACUUUGGGAUAACUUCAGGAAACUGGGGCUAAUACCGGAUAGGAGCUCCUGCUGCAUGGUGGGGGUUGGAAAGUUUCGGCGGUUGGGGAUGGACUCGCGGCUUAUCAGCUUGUUGGUGGGGUAGUGGCUUACCAAGGCUUUGACGGGUAGCCGGCCUGAGAGGGUGACCGGCCACAUUGGGACUGAGAUACGGCCCAGACUCCUACGGGAGGCAGCAGUGGGGAAUAUUGCACAAUGGGCGGAAGCCUGAUGCAGCAACGCCGCGUGCGGGAUGACGGCCUUCGGGUUGUAAACCGCUUUCGCCUGUGACGAAGCGUGAGUGACGGUAAUGGGUAAAGAAGCACCGGCUAACUACGUGCCAGCAGCCGCGGUGAUACGUAGGGUGCGAGCGUUGUCCGGAUUUAUUGGGCGUAAAGGGCUCGUAGGUGGUUGAUCGCGUCGGAAGUGUAAUCUUGGGGCUUAACCCUGAGCGUGCUUUCGAUACGGGUUGACUUGAGGAAGGUAGGGGAGAAUGGAAUUCCUGGUGGAGCGGUGGAAUGCGCAGAUAUCAGGAGGAACACCAGUGGCGAAGGCGGUUCUCUGGGCCUUUCCUGACGCUGAGGAGCGAAAGCGUGGGGAGCGAACAGGCUUAGAUACCCUGGUAGUCCACGCUGUAAACGGUGGGUACUAGGUGUGGGGUCCAUUCCACGGGUUCCGUGCCGUAGCUAACGCUUUAAGUACCCCGCCUGGGGAGUACGGCCGCAAGGCUAAAACUCAAAGGAAUUGACGGGGCCCCGCACAAGCGGCGGAGCAUGCGGAUUAAUUCGAUGCAACGCGUAGAACCUUACCUGGGUUUGACAUGGAUCGGGAGUGCUCAGAGAUGGGUGUGCCUCUUUUGGGGUCGGUUCACAGGUGGUGCAUGGCUGUCGUCAGCUCGUGUCGUGAGAUGUUGGGUUAAGUCCCGCAACGAGCGCAACCCUUGUUCACUGUUGCCAGCACGUUAUGGUGGGGACUCAGUGGAGACCGCCGGGGUCAACUCGGAGGAGGGUGGGGAUGACGUCAAGUCAUCAUGCCCCUUAUGUCCAGGGCUUCACGCAUGCUACAAUGGCUGGUACAGAGAGUGGCGAGCCUGUGAGGGUGAGCGAAUCUCGGAAAGUCGGUCUCAGUUCGGAUUGGGGUCUGCAACUCGACCUCAUGAAGUCGGAGUCGCUAGUAAUCGCAGAUCAGCAACGCUGCGGUGAAUACGUUCCCGGGGCU
Molecule: ribosomal RNA, 1346 nt
Filed under: uncultured bacterium
Lineage: Bacteria
Description: partial 16S ribosomal RNA
Rfam family: Bacterial small subunit ribosomal RNA
Source: RNAcentral